Molecule: long non-coding RNA, 419 nt
Filed under: Gossypium raimondii (Peruvian cotton)
Lineage: Eukaryota; Viridiplantae; Streptophyta; Magnoliopsida; Malvales; Malvaceae
Description: long non-coding RNA (GRAI_LNC002393)
Source: RNAcentral
GAGUCCGAGAGGGACGAGACCAAUCCCGAGAAGGGGUCAGAUCAAGUCGAGAAUGGCAGCGAAUGCUUUUAACUCUAUUGUCUCUGUGCUAUCUAGAGCUGCUACUGCCGGUCCGAAUCAUCGUCAUUCCCACCGGAAAACAUACUUGAGGGAAGCCUAGAACACUAUAAUUAGUGAUUAUAUAUUAAACAUUGUGUUGCAACUAACUUGUUAACGUAUUAUAAAGUAAUUUUCUUCUUCUCCUUCAUCUUUUCUCUAUUGUUAUAUAUUUGUAUAUUUCCACCCUAUGAUAUUCACUUAACAGAAAACCAAAAGUUCAUAAUAUACACCAAAAAGAUGACAUGAGAAUUUAUCCACUUAAUUUCCAUGAAAUAUACGAGUUGUUUGUGCAAAGUGUUAAAGGAAAAGACCCUUCCCCC